RNAcentral lists this ribosomal RNA (363 nucleotides) under uncultured bacterium. RNAcentral's name for it is "partial 16S ribosomal RNA". It matches the Rfam family "Bacterial small subunit ribosomal RNA", at positions 338 to 699 of the family's 1533-position model. The record is from RNAcentral.
ACUACGGGAGGCAGCAGUGAGGAAUAUUGGUCAAUGGGCGCAAGCCUGAACCAGCCACGCCGCGUGAGGGACGAAUGCUCUCUGGUUUGUAAGCCCUUUUUUUAAGGGAGGAAUAAAUGCUACGUGUAGCAUGAUGCCUGUACCUUAUGAAUAAGCAUCGGCUACCUCCGUGCCAGCAGCGGCGGUAAUACGGAGGAUGCGAGCGUGAUCAGGAUUUAUUGGGGUGAGAGGGUGCGUAGACGGUUUUAUAAGUUAGUGGUUAAACGUUGGGGCUUCACCUUGAUUUGCCUUUAAUACUGUAAGACUCGAGUGCAGAAGAGGUAGGCGGAAUAAGUUAAGUAGCGGUGAAAUGCGUAGAUAUAA